UGUGCAAAGGUAGCAUAAUCAUUUGGCUUAUAAUUGAAGUCUGGCAUGAAAGAAACUACGGGUAAUUACUGUCUCCCUUGGUCACCUUGAAUUUCCUUAAAGGGUGAAAAUGCCCUUUGAUAAAUAAUAGACGAGAAGACCCUAGAAAUUUUUUAUACCAUAAGAUAAUCUUAUUUCUAUUUUGUUGGGGCGACAGAAUAACAUUUAACUUGUUUUAUUUAAUAUGAACUAUAUAUUGAGCAAAAAUAAAUUACUCUAGGGAUAACAGCAUAAUUUGAUAAAGUUUGUGACCUCGAUGUUGGACUAGGGAUUUCAUUAACCAGCAGUUAAUGAAACAGGCUCUGUUCGAGCCAAUUAUUCCCUACAUGAUCUGAGUUCAAAUCGA
Molecule: ribosomal RNA, 385 nt
Filed under: Candidula unifasciata
Lineage: Eukaryota; Metazoa; Mollusca; Gastropoda; Stylommatophora; Geomitridae
Description: partial 16S ribosomal RNA
Rfam family: Bacterial large subunit ribosomal RNA
Source: RNAcentral